AUGGAUAAGAGCAAUAUUAACAUCUUGUGCUGGAAUGUGCGAAGCCUAAAUGCUGGUGCUCGCCGUUCAACUGUGAGAGAAACGAUCAUUAAUUCCCAGGCAACAAUAGUCUGCCUUCAAGAAACUAAAAUUGAGUUUUUCUCUUCGUAUUUGGUUGCGCAAUGUGUUGGACCUUCUUAUGAUGAAUUUCGUUUCUUUCCUGCAGAGGGUACUCGAGGGGUAAUCCAAAUGGUGUGGGAAUCUUCUAAGGUUGUGGGUGAUUCUCUAAUUGCUGGUGAUUUUUCUUUUACAAUCAGGUUCUCGUUCGGAGACACAACCCCUUUCUAG
RNAcentral lists this ribosomal RNA (327 nucleotides) under Triticum aestivum (bread wheat). RNAcentral's name for it is "partial small subunit ribosomal RNA". Lineage: Eukaryota; Viridiplantae; Streptophyta; Magnoliopsida; Poales; Poaceae. The record is from RNAcentral.